UCUCUCAAAUACAUUAGUUUCAACGUGGUAUCAGAGCCUUCGAAUUCAUUAGGGUAGGCUUUAGUACUGUUGAUCGAUACUUUUUAGAUGCACUGUUCACGCAUACUGUUCAUGUGCAUUGUUCAUAGGCACUAUUCAAGGGUACUAUACAUUGGCACUACUCACAGUACGUGGACCUCCGACCUUUUCAACUGUUCUUCGUGUGUUGCGCUUCUAUCCAGCCCUUGUCUUUGAUUUGACCACAAGCAAAUAUGUCUGA
Molecule: unclassified non-coding RNA, 259 nt
Filed under: Hevea brasiliensis (rubber tree)
Lineage: Eukaryota; Viridiplantae; Streptophyta; Magnoliopsida; Malpighiales; Euphorbiaceae
Source: RNAcentral